CUGCUCUUGGUCACGUUUAUUAGAAUUUUGAAAAUAACAUGAAACAUAUUUUUACAUUAACAUGUAUAUUAGUGACUGCACUGUUAAAAAAGUCUUUUCAGUCUUUGCCUUAUAAGAUUACUGUCGAAUAUACUUCCACUUGAUAUACACACUGCUUUAAAGUGGUUAUCACGUUUUCGAUAAUCAAAUUGGGUAGUUGCUGAUAGUUUCCCUUUUCAUUGUACUGUACACACCCACGAAAUCGCUGGCAUUUAGAGCUUGGUUAAAAGUAUGUUAACAGUUGUAGGAGAUUUUCAGGAAAGGAAUAAAAAGUCAUAGAUAAUUUGUGACAUGACAGUUCUUUCAGCCUCCUCUCUUUAUUUCAAAAUCCUUUUUUUUUUCUAAAAGUUUCAAUUAUGUUCGCUUUAUUCUAUAUGAUAAGACAUAUAUUAAAU
Molecule: long non-coding RNA, 434 nt
Filed under: Mytilus galloprovincialis (Mediterranean mussel)
Lineage: Eukaryota; Metazoa; Mollusca; Bivalvia; Mytilida; Mytilidae
Source: RNAcentral